CCUCGGGGGGCAGCAGUAGGGAAUCUUCCGCAAUGGACGAAAGUCUGACGGCGCAACGCCGCGUGAACGAUGAAGGCCUUCGGGUCGUAAAGUUCUGUUGUUAGGGAAGAACAAGUACCAGAGUAACUGCUGGUACCUUGACGGUACCUAACCAGAAAGCCACGGCUAACUACGUGCCAGCAGCCGCGGUAAUACGUAGGUGGCAAGCGUUGUCCGGAAUUAUUGGGCGUAAAGCGCGCGCAGGUGGUUUCUUAAGUCUGAUGUGAAAGCCCACGGCUCAACCGUGGAGGGUCAUUGGAAACUGGGGAACUUGAGUGCAGAAGAGGAAAGUGGAAUUCCAAGUGUAGCGGUGAAACGCGUAGAGAUUUGGAGGAACACCAGUGGCGAAGGCGACUUUCUGGUCUGUAACUGACACUGAGGCGCGAAAGCGUGGGGAGCGAACA
Molecule: ribosomal RNA, 443 nt
Filed under: uncultured prokaryote
Description: bacterial SSU rRNA
Rfam family: Bacterial small subunit ribosomal RNA
Source: RNAcentral